CCUACGGGAGGCAGCAGUGAGGAAUAUUGGUCAAUGGCCGGAAGGCUGAACCAGCCAUGCCGCGUGAAGGUCAGUGCCCUAUGGGCGUUAAACUUCUUUUGUGCGGGAGCAAUAAUGGUCACGUGUGGCCAGACGAGAGUACCGUACGAAUAAGCAUCGGCUAACUCCGUGCCAGCAGCCGCGGUAAUACGGGGGAUGCAAGCGUUAUCCGGAUUUAUUGGGUUUAAAGGGUGCGUAGGUGGUGAGGUAAGUCAGCGGUGAAAUGCCCCCGCUCAACGGGGUGAAGUGCCAUUGAUACUGCCUUGCUUGAAUGCGGAUGCCGUGGGAGGAAUGUGUGGUGUAGCGGUGAAAUGCAGAGAUAUCACACAGAACACCGAUUGCGAAGGCAUCUCACGAAUCCGCGAUUGACGCUGAUGCACGAAAGCGUGGGUAUCAAACAGGAUUAGAGACCCUAGUAGUC
RNAcentral lists this ribosomal RNA (460 nucleotides) under uncultured bacterium. RNAcentral describes it as "partial 16S ribosomal RNA". It matches the Rfam family "Bacterial small subunit ribosomal RNA", at positions 338 to 795 of the family's 1533-position model. The record is from RNAcentral.